ACUACGGGAGGCAGCAGUGAGGAAUAUUGGUCAAUGGACGAGAGUCUGAACCAGCCAAGUAGCGUGAAGGAUGACUGCCCUAUGGGUUGUAAACUUCUUUUAUAUGGGAAUAAAACGUUCCACGUGUGGGAUUUUGUAUGUACCAUAUGAAUAAGGAUCGGCUAACUCCGUGCCAGCAGCCGCGGUAAUACGGAGGAGCCGAGCGUUAUCCGGAUUUAUUGGGUUUAAAGGGAGCGUAGGUGGGUGUUUAAGUGAGUUGUGAGAGUUUGCGGCUCAACCGUAAAAUUGCAGUUGAAACUGGAAGUCUUGAGUGCAGUAUGGGAGGGCGGAAUUCGUGGUGUAGCGGUGAAAUGCUUAGAUAUCACGAAGAACUCCGAUUGCGAAGGCAGUUCACUGGACUGCAACUGACACUGAGGCUCGAAAGUGUGGGUAUCAAACAGGAUUAGAUACCCUUGUAGUC
This 460-nucleotide ribosomal RNA is filed under the name uncultured bacterium. RNAcentral's name for it is "partial 16S ribosomal RNA". It matches the Rfam family "Bacterial small subunit ribosomal RNA", at positions 338 to 795 of the family's 1533-position model. The record is from RNAcentral.